ACACAUGCAAGUCGAACGCGAAAGCCCCUUCGGGGGUAAGUAGAGUGGCGUCCGGGUGAGUAACACGUGGGUAAUCUACCUUCGGGAGGGGAAUAACCCAGGGAAACUUGGGCUAAUACCGCAUAAUGCAGCGGCACCUAAUGGUGAUUAGUUGUUAAAGCGGGGGAUCGCAAGACCUCGCGCCUGAAGAGGAGCCUGCGGCAGAUUAGCUAGUUGGUGAGGUAAUGGCUCACCAAGGCUUCGAUCUGUAGCUGGUCUGAGAGGACGGCCAGCCACACUGGCACUGACACACGGGCCAGACUCCUACGGGAGGCAGCAGUGGGGAAUUUUGGGCAAUGGGCGAAAGCCUGACCCAGCAACGCCGCGUGAGGGAGGAAAUCCUUCGGGAUGUAAACCUCACAAGCAAGGGAAGAGAGCUGCGGGCUGAAUAAUCCCGCGGUGCGACGGUACCUUGCGUAAGCCACGGCUAACUACGUGCCAGCAGCCGCGGUAAUACGUAGGUGGCAAGCGUUGUUCGGAAUUAUUGGGCGUAAAGGGCGCGUAGGCGGCUUGUUAAGUCGGCUGUGAAAGCCCGGGGCUCAACCCCGGAGGGUCAGCCGAUACUGGCAGGCUAGAGUACG
RNAcentral lists this ribosomal RNA (620 nucleotides) under uncultured soil bacterium. Its description in RNAcentral is "bacterial SSU rRNA". It matches the Rfam family "Bacterial small subunit ribosomal RNA", at positions 51 to 650 of the family's 1533-position model. The record is from RNAcentral.